Molecule: transfer RNA, 64 nt
Filed under: Kosciuscola tristis (chameleon grasshopper)
Lineage: Eukaryota; Metazoa; Arthropoda; Insecta; Orthoptera; Acrididae
Description: tRNA-Pro
Source: RNAcentral
CAGGGGUUAGUUUAUAAAAAUGUCGGUUUUGGGGACCGAGGAUAGGGAAUCUCCCUACCCCUGA